CAGGAUGCUCUCGAUGGUGCAGCUGUAGAACGUUUUGAGGAUCUGAGGACCCAUGCCAAAUCAUUUUCAGUCUCCUGAGGGGGAAUAGGCAUUGUCGUGGCCUCUUCACAACUGUCUUGGUGUGUAUGGACCAUGAUAGUGUCGUGACAUGACUACCAUUAAUGUGUUGAUGGCUAUUUUAUCAAAUCAAUUAACUGUGUUGAAUUAAUACAUUAUUAAAUUAAUCAUGUAACAAUGAACUCAUUAGUAACAUGGGGCACCAUGGAAGAAGUUUGUUUUAUGAGUUACUGUUUCCCAAAUUAACUCAAGAAUAUACUAGAAUGUAUCAUUAUCAUACCAGUCAUCCAUUAAUCAGUAUUAUCUCAUAUCAGUCUCAUUCUAACAUUGCAAAAUUCUUGGAUAUCUGCAGGAACCCGAGUCUAAAUAAUGAUUCAAAGAUGCACAAAUUGGUUUAAUUAUUUAUUUACUAACUAAAUAAUCACACAGACAUACACAAACAGUAUAGGUUGAAUUGAUUUCUAACAUAAUGCAAUGAAAAGUCCCUAGUGGACUAACUCGAUAUGAUGGCUUGUUACACCGUGAAAGGGGUGGGGACAGAAAGAGUGGGAGAGACAGAGAGUUGGAAAAAUAUGCUCAUGGGAAUGUGAAUACAUUACACAUGAAUGGCUGCUCAAUCGAAAAUAAUUGCAAUGUAUAUAUUUAAGCUUGUAUGUUUUUGUCGUUGCUCUCUGUUGACAUCGCCCGGUCCGUCUAUGGGGAGUCGUUCGACAGUAGUCUCUGGUUUGUCCACCAGAGGUAACAAUGUCUUUUGUAGUUGUAGUAGGCUUUCUUUGUCUCUGAGUGUUCGUUAGACUGGAUCCUUCAGAUAUACACACGCGGUGGUCUUUGGGUCGAGUUUACUAGACUAACAGUACUUAAACAGCUGCAGACUGAAUGUUCCGAUGUAGUCUUUAUCUUCUUCACUCGCGUGGAGAGUUUCUAAACAUUUCGUAACGUUCAGCUCACGCUGUUGGUCACGCUGGUCUAUAUUUAAAUUGCAACCAUUUCAACGUUUUCAGCCCACGCUGCACGUAUAUUGGUCUUGUAAUUUUUAACCAUUUUAACAUGUAGCCACCGCUCCAUGCUUUCUGGUCUGUAUGUUAAUUCUUCAGCAAGUCCUUUUAAGCACUCGCCUUGGAGGGCGGUUCCAUCAUGUUGCCAUAAUGUUGCCACAAAAUCACAUUUAAUCUUUUCACAAAUAGUUUCAUAUUUAAUCAUAUAAAGUUGGUGAAGACGAAUGUUCUGAAUGGACUCUAAAAUUGGAGUGGAGGAUACGUGUGUGAAUGAUAAGGAAUCGCUUCUUGUUUGGAUGCUUUUGUUGAGUAAGGGUGCAUAUGUGGGAGACCCGUUUGAGGUGUCGAAAAUGGUGAAGUAUGCACUGGGUCAGAGUGACCUGGAAUUGUUUAAUUUGGAUUAAUUGUAUUUAUGAAGAACAGAGAUUGCAGUGAGCCUUAAAAUAAUCUGGACAGGGCCUCCUGAGUGGCGCAGCGGUCUAAAGCACUGCAUCGCAGUGCUAGAGGCGUCACUACAGACCCUGGUUCUGUGCCGCAGCCAGCUGCGACCGGGAGACCCAUGAGGCGGCGUGCAAUUUGCCCAGCGUCGUCCGGGUUAGGGGAGGGUUUGGCCGGCCGGCCGGGUUGUCCUUGUCCCACUGCUUUAGAGACUUCUGUGGCGGGCCGGACGCAUGCAGGCUGACUUCAGUCGCCAGUUGUACGGUGUUUCCUUCGACACAUUGGUGCGACUGGCUUCCGGGUUAAGCGAAGCAGUGUGUCAAGAAGCAGUGUGGCUCGGCAGGGCUAUGUUUCGGAGGACGCAUGGCUCUCGACCUUCGCCUUUCCCGAGUCCGUACAGGAGUUUCAGCGAUGGGACAAGACUGUCUCUGGAUAUCACGAAAUUGGGGAGAAAAAGGGGUAAAAAGUCAAAUAUAUAUAUAUAACAUCCGGACAAUAGAAGUUUUGUGUUUUAAACUUCGGAGUAGAGCACCCAUCAAAGGAGUCAUGUGACGAAGGAUGUUCAGGUUCAAUACCUGAAGAGAAUUCCUAGUGUGGUUGGUGCCCGCCGUCUGACCCGCUGGGUGAAUGGAGAAAAAGAAAAAGGUCUGUCGGCCCUGUUGUUUUUUUGGUAAAGAGCAAAUACGUAUGUGAAGCUUAGUUUUGUAAGAUACACUGUAAGAGCUUUCAUCCCCAAACCAUUGCAGUAUAAGAAUUGUAAAGGAUUUGGCAAUGUUUCAAGUGUGUGCAGAUGGACAGUUUAGUUUAGUUUAGUUUAUUUAUUUAUUUUUGGAGUUUGCUAGUUUUUUGCUAGUUUGUUCCAUUUUUAGGAAUCCUGUUUCCAUCCCGCACGGUAGUUGGUGGGAUGCACAUUAAAUUGUGCGAUCACCAUAUACCAUAGAAGAAGAAGAAAUGUUUUGAGAAGAAUAAACAUUGUGAAAUGUGAGUAUUAUGUUUAUUUAUUCAACAAAUUACAUUAAAAUGUUAAUCUUUCAUAUGAUGGUUAAAUUGAAUCAUUAGGACAUAACGCAGAGUCAGGUCUCUAGCCAAGCUAGCUACCAGGUGAUCUUGUCAUUUUUACACUAUGAACAAUUAAUUGUAUAUUCAGGAAUAUGUCAAUGAUAUAGGAAUGCACAGUUUUAAAAUCCUGAAUUGGUGAUCUUGCUAGGCAGCUAAUGACAAAUCAUAUUUUUCAAACUGUUUUCAUUCAGGGACGAAAGAGGACAAUAUAUUGGCAGGACAAAACACUCUUUCCCGACUGGUGUGAGGGUAAGAAAUUGGAACAUUAUCUGAUAAAAAUAAGCAAGAAAUGCUUUUAGCUGUGCUCUGCUUACUUGCUAGCUAGCCAAAUCAUUUGUUGUGCGUUGUUUGAUUUAUGUGCUGUUUUCCAGUCAAUGAUCAUGCAUGCCGUCUCUGUUUACUUCCUCUUGUCAGUUUCCUCCCUCUGUCUCGUGUUCCACCAUUGGGGUUAAAGGUAAUGUUACAAGUUAAAUAAAAGGCUAAUUGUAAUCAUAGUGUUAAGACUUUGAUCUGUACAAAUGAUCAAUUGACGCACAGGCUAUGUUAUGACCAUGGUUCAAAAUAAUCUAAAGAAUAAACGGUAAACCAGGUUAAGCUAUAUAGGCUACCUAAGCUAAGUCAUUGUUAUGAAGAAUAUGUUUUGAAGUAUGAAAUUAGGGGUUAACAAGUCAGGGUAACAAGCCCCAGCUGAGACAGGUCAGGUAGCCUGACAAGGGUUUGGCUGCUCUCUGCAAACACUGUCCCCAUUUCUAUAUGUACAUGAACACGACCCCACUCUCUGUCUCUGUUCCAGUGUAUCUAUAUUAACCCUGUCGUCUCUAUGUCAUGGUUCCAGUCUAUCUGCAGGUGACCAGGUGGACCUCUUCACCAGGCAGGCCUUCGCUGCAGUCUUACAUCACCAGCAAAGGUCUAUGAAGAGGUACUUUAUAUUAAGAUCGUGCUUCCAACCUGCUGCCUGGAUACCUCAGCAUCCACGAGGGCAUCAUCAAGCAUUCUGGUCCAGUGAUUAAAUGGGUUGAUGGAGGGAAGCCAUUAUUAGGUGUCAACUCACCUGGUCUCUACUGAGUGUCUACACACAGAGUGAUGGUUCAUAUUGUAGCUCACGAGUAGGGACUGGAACAUCACCUCAGGUCCUAUGUGAAGUUUGUGUUCAAGCCAGAGCCAAACUCUGCCAGUGGGGUCAGAAUGUCCAUGAGGACCCUCAGAGUGUCCAUGAGGAGCUGGCUAAAGCCAUGACAGCCAACCUCAACCCCUCCACUUACUUCCUCACCAGCAACAAACUGCUACUCGUGGUACUUCGUAGAAGCCCUGGUGAAGUCUAUGGCCCAGCAUAGGACCCAGAGUGGUAAAUUCAACCUGUCUAGCAAACCAAGUUCCUCUGCAUCCUUCCACCACACAGUAGAGAAAAAUGCUAAUGCCUCACAUCAACAAGAACUACAAGAACAAACUGGACGCUGCCCGAAACGCCAACUACAGUCUGGCAGUCUUGGUGUGCCAUAGACAGCCAACAAAAAAUGUGUUGAUUUCAUUCAGAAAAUUGCCACAUUUAGUUCUAUGGUAAUGCUAUUUUCUUGCUAUGAGGACUGAUGACUUAUUGUAUGCUACACGAAGCAAAAUAAAUACGUGCACCC
Molecule: non-coding RNA, 4180 nt
Organism: Oncorhynchus mykiss (rainbow trout)
Lineage: Eukaryota; Metazoa; Chordata; Actinopteri; Salmoniformes; Salmonidae
Source: RefSeq, a predicted model, not a curated record